Molecule: long non-coding RNA, 212 nt
Filed under: Mytilus galloprovincialis (Mediterranean mussel)
Lineage: Eukaryota; Metazoa; Mollusca; Bivalvia; Mytilida; Mytilidae
Source: RNAcentral
CCGGGGUUUUACUGUAAGAUCGCACAAACUUAACAAAUGGGUAUAACAUGGUUAACGAAGCAAGAAAUAACUAUUUGCGCAAAAGGGAAGGCUUUUGAGGCUAUUCCCUCAACUUGGUCUAGUUUUUUCCAGCAUGUAAAUCAUGCAAUAUACUUAGGAAGGUGUUUAGGGAGACGAGCUUGGGAUUGGCUCUUAUGCUACCCACUCCAGGC